This 290-nucleotide long non-coding RNA is filed under the name Capsicum annuum. RNAcentral describes it as "long non-coding RNA (CANN_LNC011737)". The record is from RNAcentral. Lineage: Eukaryota; Viridiplantae; Streptophyta; Magnoliopsida; Solanales; Solanaceae.
GCGAUUUAGCUUUGGCAUCAUUCUACGUUUGGCGAGGGACAGAUUCCACCGAAAUCUCACGUAUGUUUUCAAUUUCAUCUGUACAAGAAAUCAUGGACUACAGCAACAGGUCAAACAUUCCUAAUCAAAAUAGUGUCAUAGCUGGGAGAAGAAUUAACAUACCUUUUCGUUGUGAUUGCUUAAACAACGAAUUCUUAGGCCAUGUUUUUCCAUACCAGGUUAACACUAGUGAUACGUACAGUCUCGUUGCAUCUAAUUAUUCGGAUUUAACGACAGUGGAUAUGUUAAGG